CAUAAAAUUCUUGUGAAAAGAAGAAUUCAAUGCAUACUAUUUUAAGGGCCCAACUUUUAAUAUUCGUCUCAAGUCUGAAAGUCUCAAGUUCAGCCCUGGAGCGAACAAGUUCACUAAUGAUUUGGGAAUGGCAUCCACCAAGUCAUCAUGGAUCCUAAACUGCAUAGUAAUAUCAAGAAUAGUGAGAGUGGAGCAGGCUCUCGCCAUCGCCGCGCCGGAAGUCGUCGUCAUGCUCUCCGCGGCCAGGCUCGACGCCAAGCUGACGGUCCUCGUCGCUGAGAAGCUCGGCGAGGCCGGGUUGGACCUUCUGAAGGAAAUCGACGACCGCCAGAAGAAUCGGGUACGUCUUCGUUUUGCUUCUGUCUCUCUCGCCGGCUUCUGAUCAUCACGGAAAUCGCAACUUCAUUGUAUCUCCGGUCCCAGGCUGCAACCGGAGUCGUUGCAAUCGGAGUCAAAUCAGUGUGAAGGCAAAUGGUCAACCGGAAUUGUUGCAAAAUGACUGGAAUUGUGGGCAAAAUCGUCAACAGGAGUCGAGAUUAUUGGGGGGCAAUAAUGUGUCUUAAUUGUUGUAAAUUCUCUAUAAUUGUGUUCAGUGAUAUUUUCCUUUGUGUUUAAAGACUGCUUCUAAUGUGUUUUGGUAUUUCUGAUAUAUUAUUGGGGGGCAAUAAUCUGUUUAUUGCAGGGCAAUAAUAUACUUGUUUUGUUAUUGUUUGGA
Long non-coding RNA from Rosa rugosa (rugosa rose), 715 nucleotides. RefSeq lists it as uncharacterized. The transcript has 2 exons. The record is from RefSeq and is a predicted model, not a curated record. Lineage: Eukaryota; Viridiplantae; Streptophyta; Magnoliopsida; Rosales; Rosaceae.